This is a long non-coding RNA of Mauremys reevesii (Reeves's turtle), 626 nucleotides long. RefSeq lists it as uncharacterized. The record is from RefSeq and is a predicted model, not a curated record. The transcript is spliced from 3 exons. NCBI's taxonomy places the organism in Eukaryota, Metazoa, Chordata, Testudines, Geoemydidae.
GCAUAUCGCCCUGAGCUGGGAAUCACCUCCCCACAGUUCAAAGCAGAGCCGUACCCCCGCUGCCCAUGGGAGAACUCUGGUGGAACAGAGCACGUAAUGUGGCCAGCCCAAUAUUUGUUACAGAUGAUGAUGUGUGAGAAGGAGAAUAACCAGCUUGACUCUCAGAGCCCGGGGCGAGUUCACACAGCUGGCAGAUACAUGUGACCCUUCACCCACUUCAGUGCCAUGCCACGCCCCCUCAAGCCCAUCAGAGGCCACCCCUUUUAAAGGCACGGAUGUUCAAACAAAGGGAGCGGCACGACAGAUCGCAUGUAUCAGGCCAGAGAGGAAAUGCCUGUUCUCCUGCCAGCGUUUGGAUGUGCGUCGUGGCCCAGAAGGGGUUACAUUACAGCCUUCUCCAGCCUGGGCACAGCAGCACCGAAAAUAAAUGGCCGGGGACAUGAGUGAUCUUGUCAAGGACGAAGUUACAUCAAGAAAAGUACAUUUUGGCAGAGAACAAACCGAGGCGAUGCCAGCAAAAGUCUGUAUAAACCACAUUGCGAUGCCAGGGUCAAAGGCUAAACGGCACUCCAUGUACGCCAAUGAAAAACACUGGGUAACAUCAGGACUCUGUUAACACAAUAUAA